This is a long non-coding RNA of Tripterygium wilfordii, 430 nucleotides long. RefSeq lists it as uncharacterized. NCBI's taxonomy places the organism in Eukaryota, Viridiplantae, Streptophyta, Magnoliopsida, Celastrales, Celastraceae. The record is from RefSeq and is a predicted model, not a curated record. The transcript is spliced from 2 exons.
GGAAGCUGCUUCUUUUCCCUUGUUUUCUUCUUCAAGAGAAUAAAAAGAGGGCAAAGUAAGAUAAGAGUUAGAGGAAGCCAGACUGCUAAGGUAUGCAUAGCCAUCGGAAGGACUAAAGAUGAAUGAACUUCAUCUGAAUGAUUCUGCUCUGACUAGAGGUGGCAGAGGAGCUAGAGGCGGAGCCGUUGUGGGGUGUUUUAAGGCAAUUGGGAAAAGGAUGAUUCAAGAAGGUUGUCCUUGUCGUUGACAAAUAUGUAAAUUUCUGUCGAAGCGAACAUGAUUGGACAUUAAAAAAGAUUCUUUCAAUGAUGGUAGGACUAGGGCUGAUAUAAGUAUUGCUUAGAUACGAGAGUAGUGAUAUAUUGAUUAGGAGGGCAAAAUUUAUUCCUUAAUCAACCAAUAAAUUUUAUAGGUAGUGGUCUAUUGGAUU